Molecule: non-coding RNA, 315 nt
Organism: Vicia faba (fava bean)
Lineage: Eukaryota; Viridiplantae; Streptophyta; Magnoliopsida; Fabales; Fabaceae
Source: the annotation of a GenBank genome assembly
AUGCAACUAGACUUAACUGUUAGUACAAGUAACAAUAUCAAAACCUCAUGCUUCUAUUUUCAAAAUGUACAUCAAGCCCAAACCGCCCCCUGUUACAGAAAAAAGAAAGGGUGGAAUCGUGAGUUCAAAACUCAGAAAUUAGGAAUAGCGAAAUUCAGGGAGUUAAAUCAGAACAAAGGAAACAGGAAACAGAAAAUUUGGAAGCAAAACUUAAUCACUAACAGUUACAGUUCAGCCAAUAACAGAAAAAUAGUUAACCAGUUGUCCACAACCUCAUCCUCAACAGAAUUUCAAUUUCCCAAUCUUCCUAACUGA